Molecule: long non-coding RNA, 1782 nt
Organism: Felis catus (domestic cat)
Lineage: Eukaryota; Metazoa; Chordata; Mammalia; Carnivora; Felidae
Exons: 4
Source: RefSeq, a predicted model, not a curated record
CCAAUCAGAAGCAUUUGCCCGAGACUGACUCAGAGCUGGGUUAGAGGUGAACAAUGACAAGGCUCCAGGCAUUGUUUUCGCGGGUGCAGAGUGUGGCGGAAGGGCACAGGGCACGGCUCUCGGAAACCGCAGGCUUAGCAGCACCUUCUUGAUUACAUCAGGGGCGGCAGCUUUCACGGUGGCCUCGUUUCACGGUGCAGUUCGGGGAGGCUCAGCCUUCGGUCUUUCUUCAGCUUUCCCAAAGAUUCCGAGCUAGCCGUGCCCUAAAUAAAUCCCUUUCUGCUUUCACUAGCUAAAUGGGCUCCGUUAUCUGCCAUUAAGAACAAGGGGUCAGCCUGAGGCCACCAGAAAAGCCUGCGACCUUGGCCGUAACUCACGUCACUUUCCAGUCGCACAACAGACAGGAGUGGCCAGAGAGUCAGCGACUUGCUUCUGGACCUCAGCUGGCUGAUGGCAGAGCUGAGUCAGGCACGACGAACCUCAGGAAGCUUCUCCGCCAUCUGGACCGGCUGGCGUCCUCCUUCGGCUGCUACUGAAACCCCUGUGAAGGCUCUUGCCCACUUUCCCCUCUCACCCUCUCUGCCUCCGACCAGCCCUGGUGGCCCCCUAUGUGGCCUUUACGGUGCGACGUGCCUCCUGUGUCUAGGGAUCUGUGAGUAUAAAGUCUUCCUCCUUCGUGGCAUUGACUCCCACUUCCGUGGAGUCUUGCCAUACGUGACGAUACCGGGCCCCAGCUACCCCGCAAACACCCCACGUGGUGCCUCAGCCAGGUUGUCAAAAGCGCCCCACACCGGGGUCUACAGCCCCAGGUGUCCUGUCUGAAAACGGAGCCGAUGGCCCUGUUCCUGUCUCCAUCCUACCCGGCUUUGCUGCUUUGAGCUGUGCUGCUUCAUCUCCGUCUCUAAAGCUAACACUCGAGGAAGCAAGAUCAUAACAACCGCUGCCGAGAGCCCCCCCUCCGGACUCCGCUUCUGACGGGACACCCAAGGACUGCGUUCUGGAAAAAGCACGGUAAUCCCUGUCUGGCGGGGACACAGACUUUGAUGCGGACGUCACCAGUGAGGCUUCCGUCUCCUUGUGUAGUGACGUGGGAAGACGCUCCCAGGAUGAUGCUGAACGGGAAACACAAGCUACAGCACUGCGAUCUCCCGAAAGAACGGUCCUAGAUCUCCCACGAAACAGUUCGAGCUUCCCAUCAAACUGCCAGAAGUCUGAGAGAAGCAGUCUCUCCAACUUUCUGAACUCCACUGGCCUCUCAGGGUGAGUCAGUCGCUGUCUCUUUGUCCAAUUCUCGAAAGCCGAUCUCUGCCCGGCGCAAAGGGAGGGGCCCCGGCAUCGCAUUCGGCACCUCACGGGUAUAAAUAGUCACGGCCGCUCAGACCAGCUCAUCUCAGAUGCCACUUGGCUUCCGGCAGUCAAGUCCGGGGCGGGCGCCAAGCUGCCUCCAUCCUGCCCCCUCCUCUGUGCCCUCAGGGACCAUGGGGGGGGGGGGCGGGGGAAGGGCCAGGCAGCCCAGGCUGCCCAGCCAGCAGGUGAUGGCCUCUGCUAAGGGAGAAGACAAACUCAGAGGUGACCACGGCAGUCCUGCGUGUUAGUUUCCAUCCUCCUACCCAGACGCGGGCUCCAGUUCUGCAGGCUGAGGAGGCCUCUUGUCAGCGUGGCCGGGGGCCCUCACGCAUCCCUGCCAGCCUUUGUCCAUGAGCCUGCCCCUCAUAGGGCCCUCCUGUUGGUCUGAACCCUCUCGGGAGCUUCAUCAGGACCAUGGGGUCUUUUUUUUUUUUU